This 414-nucleotide ribosomal RNA is filed under the name Triticum aestivum (bread wheat). Its description in RNAcentral is "partial small subunit ribosomal RNA". Lineage: Eukaryota; Viridiplantae; Streptophyta; Magnoliopsida; Poales; Poaceae. The record is from RNAcentral.
AUGCCUCCUUUGCACUGGCUCGCCGAUCAGGACAGAUGUUGGACCGCCAACCGCUUGGCACGCCAAGGACUGCAACACCACACCUGAUGCCUCCUUUGCUGCCAGAGCACCGAGAUGAUGAACCACCUGCUGCUCCGCUGUCCAUUCUCUCGACAAGUUUGGCAUGAAAUUAUUGCCUGGCUUCGCAUGCCUUGCGCGCCGCCAAACCAUGAAUCUUCCAUCAUGGAAUGGUGGCACGCUGCUAAACAGUGCACCCCGCAGCCCAUGCGCAAGGGCCUCGCCUCUGUCGUCGCUGGCCAGAGAGAGAGAGAGAGAGAGAGAGAGACGAACACGAUGAGACGGUGGUUUUUGUGCUGCGGUAACUAUGCAGUGUUUUCUGCUCUUUCCCUUUAUCUCCUUCUGAUACAAAACUGA